Molecule: ribosomal RNA, 1109 nt
Filed under: Arthrobacter sp.
Lineage: Bacteria; Bacillati; Actinomycetota; Actinomycetes; Micrococcales; Micrococcaceae
Description: bacterial SSU rRNA
Rfam family: Bacterial small subunit ribosomal RNA
Source: RNAcentral
UGCAGUCGAACGAUGAUCCCUGGCUUGCUGGGGGGAUUAGUGGCGAACGGGUGAGUAACACGUGAGUAACCUGCCCUUGACUCUGGGAUAAGCCUGGGAAACUGGGUCUAAUACUGGAUACGACCGACUAUCGCAUGGUGGUUGGUGGAAAGCUUUUGUGGUUUUGGAUGGACUCGCGGCCUAUCAGCUUGUUGGUGGGGUAAUGGCCUACCAAGGCGACGACGGGUAGCCGGCCUGAGAGGGUGGACGGCCACACUGGGACUGAGACACGGCCCAGACUCCUACGGGAGGCAGCAGUGGGGAAUAUUGCACAAUGGGCGCAAGCCUGAUGCAGCGACGCCGCGUGAGGGAUGAAGGCCUUCGGGUUGUAAACCUCUUUCAGUAGGGAAGAAGCGAAAGUGACGGUACCUGCAGAAGAAGCGCCGGCUAACUACGUGCCAGCAGCCGCGGUAAUACGUAGGGCGCAAGCGUUAUCCGGAAUUAUUGGGCGUAAAGAGCUCGUAGGCGGUUUGUCGCGUCUGCCGUGAAAGUCCGGGGCUUAACCCCGGAUCUGCGGUGGGUACGGGCAGACUUGAGUGAUGUAGGGGAGACUGGAAUUCCUGGUGUAGCGGUGAAAUGCGCAGAUAUCAGGAGGAACACCGAUGGCGAAGGCAGGUCUCUGGGCAUUAACUGACGCUGAGGAGCGAAAGCAUGGGGAGCGAACAGGAUUAGAUACCCUGGUAGUCCAUGCCGUAAACGUUGGGCACUAGGUGUGGGGGACAUUCCACGUUUUCCGCGCCGUAGCUAACGCAUUAAGUGCCCCGCCUGGGGAGUACGGCCGCAAGGCUAAAACUCAAAGGAAUUGACGGGGGCCCGCACAAGCGGCGGAGCAUGCGGAUUAAUUCGAUGCAACGCGAAGAACCUUACCAGGGCUUGACAUGAACCGGAACGGCGCAGAGAUGUGUCGGCCACUUGUGGCCGGUUUACAGGUGGUGCAUGGUUGUCGUCAGCUCGUGUCGUGAGAUGUUGGGUUAAGUCCCGCAACGAGCGCAACCCUCGUUCCAUGUUGCCAGCGGGUUAUGCCGGGGACCCUGGGAGACUGCCGGGGUCAACUCGGAGGAAGGUGGGGA